RNAcentral lists this long non-coding RNA (266 nucleotides) under Lathyrus oleraceus (garden pea). RNAcentral's name for it is "Pisum sativum (pea) long non-coding RNA (PSAT_LNC038137)". Lineage: Eukaryota; Viridiplantae; Streptophyta; Magnoliopsida; Fabales; Fabaceae. The record is from RNAcentral.
AAACUUUAACAAGGAAUUUUACAUUUUAAAUAGAUCUGAGAGCUCUUAACUUGCAUCAUCCUCCAAAUUCUCCUACUUGAUUUGUAAAUUCCAAUUCAAAUUGUCUUCUUAAAAAACCCAUAUCUUCCACCUUGCACCAUUUUUUAUAGCCAGACUAAACACAUUCGGAAAAAAUGCGUUACAAUGGCUCCUCUCCAGCAACUUAUUCAACCAAAAUAGUAUUUUCCCCCAAUAUAACCUACAAGAAAUUCAUUUAUUGAACCAAU